This 1435-nucleotide long non-coding RNA is filed under the name Piliocolobus tephrosceles (Ugandan red Colobus). Its description in RNAcentral is "lncRNA (ENSPTEG00000019184.1)". Lineage: Eukaryota; Metazoa; Chordata; Mammalia; Primates; Cercopithecidae. The record is from RNAcentral.
AUAUUAUUUAAAUGAAUGUGUAUGGAAACAUAAAAAAUAUAUUUUUCAAAGACCAUUUAAAACGAUGAAAACUAUUGCUAAAAAACGUAUUAAAAUAUAUGCAAGAAAAAAAAAAACAAAUAUUUUAAAAAAUAAUACAGUGAGUAAUGAUGAAUCGAUAAUAAUUGAUAAAAAUAAAAAUAAAAAUAUUGAUGCUGAAAAAAAAUAUGAAACAUUCGUAAUAGUAGAUGGUUCAUCGAUUUUAUUUAAGAAUUUUUUUGGUAUGCCUAAUUUAACAAAUCAUCACGAGAUAAAUAUAAGUACAAUGUAUGGUUUUAUUCAAUCAUUAAAUAAAAUUUAUAAAUUAUUUAAUCCUUCAUAUAUUUCUAUCGUUUUUGAUUCUAAAACAUCUAAUGAUAGAAAAAGGCAACUCUAUGCAAAGUAUAAAAUACAACGUAAAAAACAACCUGAUGAAUUAUAUGAACAAUUAACUAUAGCUAGUCAAUUUUGUGACAAUAUAGGUAUAAAAAUUAUUAAUGCCACAAAUGUAGAAAGUGACAAUUAUAUUGCCAUGUUAGUCGAUAAUAUAUAUAACACAAUACAAUAUGCAAAUAAACAAUCACAAAAUAGUAUUAUAAAGAAUGUACAAAAAAAUGUUUCAGAUAAAAGUUAUAAUGACCAAAUACAAGACAAAUAUCAACCAAUACGUACUAUCAUUGUUUCUAGUGAUAAAGACUUGUUACAGUUGUUAGAAUAUAGUGAUGAUGCUCAUAAUAAUAUGAACAUAUAUAUAUGUCAACCAAACAAAAAAUAUCGAUUAAUAGAUACUCAAUUAUUUAUGCAAGAAAAUGGUUUAUUACCAUGUCAGUACAGUGAUUAUUUAAUUUUAGCUGGAGAUAAAACAGAUGGUAUUAUAGGAGUACCAUCUAUUGGAGAAAAAACUAGUAUAUAUUUAUUAAAAAAAUUUGGAAGCUUAGAUUAUAUUUUAGAAAAUUUACAUCUUUUACCUAACAAAUUACAUGAUGUUAUAAUUAAUAAUAUUGAAAAUAUUCAAAUAUAUAAACAACUUAUAAAAUUAAAAUGUAAAACAAACGAAACUCUUGUCUUAAAUGAUUAUAAACAAGGAUAUAUUAAAAACUUUGAUGAUUUUCAAGACAUGUUAAACAAAUACUCUCUUCAUAAACUCUUAAACAAAAGUUUACUAAUAAGGCGCUAAAAAAUGUUAACUUUUAUUUGUAUGCGGAGAUUCGAAGAUUUUGGGGAUUUGGACAUGCAUGCGUGUAAUAUACUUACGUACGCACAGGUAGUUUUUAUUUGGGGUUACUCAUUCGUAUACAUAUAUACAUUAUACACAUAUACAUUAUACACAUAUACAUUAUACACAUNNNNNNNNNNCACAUAUACAUUAUACACAUAUACAUUAUACACAUAUACAUUAUACAUUAUACAUUAUACA